UAAAUAAAGAUUUUUAAGAUCAUUUUAUCAAUGUAAAUGAUAAACUUUAAUUAGUUAUUUAUUU
This 64-nucleotide transfer RNA is filed under the name Aleurodicus dispersus. Its description in RNAcentral is "tRNA-Val". The record is from RNAcentral. Lineage: Eukaryota; Metazoa; Arthropoda; Insecta; Hemiptera; Aleyrodidae.